Molecule: transfer RNA, 76 nt
Filed under: Oscillospiraceae bacterium
Lineage: Bacteria; Bacillati; Bacillota; Clostridia; Eubacteriales; Oscillospiraceae
Also listed under: 1 other name
Description: tRNA-Ala
Rfam family: tRNA
About the family: Transfer RNA (tRNA) molecules are approximately 80 nucleotides in length.
Source: RNAcentral
GGGGUAUUAGCUCAGUUGGUAGAGCGCCAGGUUCGCAAUCUGGAGGUCAGGGGUUCGAACCCCCUAUGCUCCACCA